This is a long non-coding RNA of Gambusia affinis (western mosquitofish), 949 nucleotides long. RefSeq lists it as uncharacterized. The record is from RefSeq and is a predicted model, not a curated record. The transcript is spliced from 3 exons. Lineage: Eukaryota; Metazoa; Chordata; Actinopteri; Cyprinodontiformes; Poeciliidae.
UCUAAACAUUUACAACAAAAAGCUAAUUUCCAGAUUUUCAACAGAGAGUGGACGGAUAAAUAUGUUUUAUGUUUUUACUGAAAAACCAUACAUAAAUGAUGCAUUGUUGGGAAAGCAUUAUAGAAUUAAACACUGUGGCUUCCGCCAUACUUUUUCAUCCGAUUUGGAUAUUCGCUAGCCAAAAAAUGUAUGUAUCAAAGAAAAUGAUCAACGUAGCUGAGCCGUUUUCAGUAGUUGUUGUUGAAGUCAAAGAGAGGAAUCGCAUGUUCUCUUGGCGGGGACACUCGGCAGAAAGAUGCAGACUUUCGGGAGAAUGCCUCAUAGCGUUAGAUGAAGGGAUCACUGAAAAUCACAUAAAGGACCAAAUGCUGCUAGCAAGUGUGAAGUCUACACCUAUACGGGACAUAUCCACUGGAAGAAGGAUGGACUUUCUACCCUCAGAAGUUUUUCUAACUCUUUUGACCUGAGGACAUAUUGGGAUACACUGGAAGGACAAGCCAUCACAACAAUAAGGAAAAUUUAUUUCAUCCUUUUUAAAAAAAUCUGGCUUCUUGUAAUUGAUUUGGUGCAACAACCCACGGCGGGAAAAAGGAACAGGCUAUUGGCAUUGUGGAACCUCGGAUGAAAUCCUUUCACUGCCUCAUCCAUCAGAUUUCUGGGCGACCGACUGAGGGACCUAAAGACUAACCUCAUCUGAGCAAGACCUGAAGAUGUUCUGAAGUCUUUUGUGACUUCUGGCUAAGUUGUUGCCUCUCCUGACAGAUGAUCUCAUGAAGAGCAGCACAGAGACAUCACAGCGGUGAGGGUUCAGCACAGCGGCGGUCAGCCCUAAAAAGCUCUCCAGCACGCUGCUUUCUGUGAAAGUCAAACCUGGAACACCAAGCAACAUGAAUGCUCAAUCUCUGUGGGCUUUUAACUCAUUUCCAACACUAAAGAGUUUUUUUGUUCC